UACAGAGGUCUCAAGCGUUGUUCGGAUUCAUUGGGCGUAAAGGGUGUGUAGGUGGCGCCGUAAGUCGGGUGUGAAAUUUCGGAGCUUAACUCCGAAACUGCAUUCGAUACUGCGGUGCUUGAGGACUGGAGAGGAGACUGGAAUUCAUGGUGUAGCAGUGAAAUGCGUAGAUAUUGGGAGGAACACCGGUGGCGAAGGCGGCUACCUGGACCGGUACUGACGCUGAGGCGCGAAAGCUAGGGUAGCAAACAGG
Molecule: ribosomal RNA, 253 nt
Filed under: uncultured bacterium
Lineage: Bacteria
Description: partial 16S ribosomal RNA
Rfam family: Bacterial small subunit ribosomal RNA
Source: RNAcentral